RNAcentral lists this ribosomal RNA (42 nucleotides) under Cenchrus purpureus (Napier grass). RNAcentral's name for it is "partial 26S ribosomal RNA". Lineage: Eukaryota; Viridiplantae; Streptophyta; Magnoliopsida; Poales; Poaceae. The record is from RNAcentral.
GGUCAGACGGGACUACCCGCUGAGUUUAAGCAUAUCAAGGGG